GCAAGAGCAGAACUCCCCUAGUCCCCUCUAUACGUUUACUCAACCCUUUCCACACCCCUUAAAACCUCAAUAUUGCUUAUUUUACAGAUACUCUACCUUAAAUUCCUUUUGUAGUUUUAUGUCAGUUUGGAAUUAUGUUCUGUAUUUCAAACAGAUCCCCCCUCCACUCUUUGCAGUCAAAGUCUCAUGAUCGAGGGUGAACCUAAUACCGUUAUUCUCAAAACACACUUCAGCCAGAAGGUCUACUCUGACACCAAACAAGCCAGCAUGUCCCUCACCAGGGCCCUGGUCCCAGUGGAGAGAGAUGCAUCCCAUACUGUCUGACCAGGUCAUUUGGCAAGCUGGAGAUCAACAAGAACUCACCAGAGGGAGACAGCACAGUCAACCAGGUUUGAUUUAUCAUAUCCUUUUGAUGGUCUGCCCUGCACUUCACAAAGCAUCGGGUGUGACUCCCUCCUGGAGGCCAUAGAAGGGCCAGGCUAGGUUGGUGCAGAUGGUAGUCCAGAGGGUUUACGUUACCCCUGGCAGUUCCCGCUCCAUAAAGGCAAAAGCAGAGCAUUCUUCCAUCACAUGUACAGCUGAUAAUCAAGAUCUUGCACACUAAUGAGAUGCUAUUGAGCCCACACGACUACACUGUCUGAGCCAAGGACUACAUGCUUUCUGGUGAGUUUUGAUUACAAUACUGGGUGGGGUGAAUAUAUACUGCUCAAAAAAAUAAAGGGAACACUUAAACAACACAUCCUAGAUCUGAAUGAAAGAAAUCAUCUUAUUAAAUACUUUUUUCUUUACAUAGUUGAAUGUGCUGACAACAAAAUCACUCAAAAAUAAUCAAUGGAAAUCCAAUUUAUCAACCCAUGGAGGUCUGGAUUUGGAGUCACACUCAAAAUUAAAGUGGAAAACCACACUACAGGCUGAUCCAACUUUGAUGUAAUGUCCUUAAAACAAG
RNAcentral lists this long non-coding RNA (946 nucleotides) under Salmo salar (Atlantic salmon). RNAcentral's name for it is "lncRNA (ENSSSAG00000088731.1, ENSSSAG00000111343.1)". Lineage: Eukaryota; Metazoa; Chordata; Actinopteri; Salmoniformes; Salmonidae. The record is from RNAcentral.